RNAcentral lists this ribosomal RNA (476 nucleotides) under uncultured bacterium. RNAcentral's name for it is "bacterial SSU rRNA". It matches the Rfam family "Bacterial small subunit ribosomal RNA", at positions 32 to 517 of the family's 1533-position model. The record is from RNAcentral.
AAUCAACGCUGGCGGCGUGCCUAACACAUGCAAGUCGAACGAGAAAGUGGAGCAAUCCAUGAGUAAAGUGGCGACCGGGUGAGUAACACGUGACUAACCUACCUUCGAGUGGGGGAUAACCUCGGGAAACCGGGGCUAAUACCGCAUAACAUCUUUGGAGUGGAAAUUUCGGAGAUCAAAGGAGCAAUUCGCUGGAAGAGGGGGUCGCGGCUGAUUAGCUAGUUGGCGGGGUAACGGCCCACCAAGGCUUAGAUCGGUAGCCGGCCUGAGAGGGCGCACGGCCACACUGGAACUGAAACACGGUCCAGACUCCUACGGGAGGCAGCAGUGGGGAAUUUUGCGCAAUGGGGGGAAACCCUGACGCAGCGACGCCGCGUGGAGGAUGAAGUCCCUUGGGACGUAAACUCCUUUCGACCCGGACGAUAAUGACGGGUACGGGUGGAAGAACGCCCCGGCUAACUUCGUGACAGCAGCAG